CCAGACCGCCAGCUAAGGUCCCAAAGUCAUGGUUAAGUGGGAAACGAUGUGGGAAGGCCCAGACAGCCAGGAUGUUGGCUUAGAAGCAGCCAUCAUUUAAAGAAAGCGUAAUAGCUCACUGGUCGAGUCGGCCUGCGCGGAAGAUGUAACGGGGCUAAACCAUGCACCGAAGCUGCGGCAGCGACACUAUGUGUUGUUGGGUAGGGGAGCGUUCUGUAAGCCUGUGAAGGUGUACUGUGAGGUAUGCUGGAGGUAUCAGAAGUGCGAAUGCUGACAUAAGUAACGAUAAAGCGGGUGAAAAGCCCGCUCGCCGGAAGACCAAGGGUUCCUGUCCAACGUUAAUCGGGGCAGGGUGAGUCGACCCCUAAGGCGAGGCCGAAAGGCGUAGUCGAUGGGAAACAGGUUAAUAUUCCUGUACUUGGUGUUACUGCGAAGGGGGGACGGAGAAGGCUAUGUUGGCCGGGCGACGGUUGUCCCGGUUUAAGCGUGUAGGCUGGUUUUCCAGGCAAAUCCGGAAAAUCAAGGCUGAGGCGUGAUGACGAGGCACUACGGUGCUGAAGCAACAAAUGCCCUGCUUCCAGGAAAAGCCUCUAAGCAUCAGGUAACAUCAAAUCGUACCCCAAACCGACACAGGUGGUCAGGUAGAGAAUACCAAGGCGCUUGAGAGAACUCGGGUGAAGGAACUAGGCAAAAUGGUGCCGUAACUUCGGGAGAAGGCACGCUGAUAUGUAGGUGAGGUCCCUCGCGGAUGGAGCUGAAAUCAGUCGAAGAUACCAGCUGGCUGCAACUGUUUAUUAAAAACACAGCACUGUGCAAACACGAAAGUGGACGUAUACGGUGUGACGCCUGCCCGGUGCCGGAAGGUUAAUUGAUGGGGUUAGCGGUAACGCGAAGCUCUUGAUCGAAGCCCCGGUAAACGGCGGCCGUAACUAUAACGGUCCUAAGGUAGCGAAAUUCCUUGUCGGGUAAGUUCCGACCUGCACGAAUGGCGUAAUGAUGGCCAGGCUGUCUCCACCCGAGACUCAGUGAAAUUGAACUCGCUGUGAAGAUGCAGUGUACCCGCGGCAAGACGGAAAGACCCCGUGAACCUUUACUAUAGCUUGACACUGAACAUUGAGCCUUGAUGUGUAGGAUAGGUGGGAGGCUUUGAAGUGUGGACGCCAGUCUGCAUGGAGCCGACCUUGAAAUACCACCCUUUAAUGUUUGAUGUUCUAACGUUGACCCGUAAUCCGGGUUGCGGACAGUGUCUGGUGGGUAGUUUGACUGGGGCGGUCUCCUCCUAAAGAGUAACGGAGGAGCACGAAGGUUGGCUAAUCCUGGUCGGACAUCAGGAGGUUAGUGCAAUGGCAUAAGCCAGCUUGACUGCGAGCGUGACGGCGCGAGCAGGUGCGAAAGCAGGUCAUAGUGAUCCGGUGGUUCUGAAUGGAAGGGCCAUCGCUCAACGGAUAAAAGGUACUCCGGGGAUAACAGGCUGAUACCGCCCAAGAGUUCAUAUCGACGGCGGUGUUUGGCACCUCGAUGUCGGCUCAUCACAUCCUGGGGCUGAAGUAGGUCCCAAGGGUAUGGCUGUUCGCCAUUUAAAGUGGUACGCGAGCUGGGUUUAGAACGUCGUGAGACAGUUCGGUCCCUAUCUGCCGUGGGCGCUGGAGAACUGAGGGGGGCUGCUCCUAGUACGAGAGGACCGGAGUGGACGCAUCACUGGUGUUCGGGUUGUCAUGCCAAUGGCACUGCCCGGUAGCUAAAUGCGGAAGAGAUAAGUGCUGAAAGCAUCUAAGCACGAAACUUGCC
RNAcentral lists this ribosomal RNA (1788 nucleotides) under Escherichia coli. RNAcentral describes it as "partial 23S ribosomal RNA". It matches the Rfam family "Bacterial large subunit ribosomal RNA", at positions 1027 to 2798 of the family's 2925-position model. Lineage: Bacteria; Pseudomonadati; Pseudomonadota; Gammaproteobacteria; Enterobacterales; Enterobacteriaceae. The record is from RNAcentral.